AUUGAACGCUGGCGGCAGGCCUAACACAUGCAAGUCGAGCGAGCGGCGGAAGGGUGAGCAAUGUAUGGGGAUCUGCCCAGUAGCGGGGGAUAACUACUCGAAAGAGUGGCUAAUACCGCAUACGAUUGGAGCGGCCGAGAUCGGAUUAGCUAGUUGGUGGGGUAAAGGCUCACCAAGGCAACGAUCCGUAGCUGGUUUGAGAGGACGACCAGCCACACUGGGACUGAGACACGGCCCAGACUCCUACGGGAGGCAGCAGUGGGGAAUUUUGGACAAUGGGGGAAACCCUGAUCCAGCCAUCCCGCGUGUAUGAGAAGGCCUUCGGGUUGUAAAGUACUUUUGGCAGAGAAGCGGUAUCUGCAGAAUAAGCACCGGCUAACUACGUGCCAGCAGCCGCGGUAAUUC
This 405-nucleotide ribosomal RNA is filed under the name uncultured bacterium. Its description in RNAcentral is "partial 16S ribosomal RNA". It matches the Rfam family "Bacterial small subunit ribosomal RNA", at positions 30 to 526 of the family's 1533-position model. The record is from RNAcentral.